This 97-nucleotide non-coding RNA is filed under the name uncultured Dorea sp. RNAcentral's name for it is "NiCo riboswitch". It matches the Rfam family "NiCo (Nickel/Cobalt) riboswitch aptamer". Lineage: Bacteria; Bacillati; Bacillota; Clostridia; Lachnospirales; Lachnospiraceae. The record is from RNAcentral.
ACAGUACAAACUGAUCAGGCGUCAGACUAUUUUCCGUCUGUGAAGCCGGGCCGGACUACAUACGGCAGCAGAUGAUAAACAGCAUCUGUGGGACAGU